This 311-nucleotide unclassified non-coding RNA is filed under the name Coprinellus xanthothrix. RNAcentral's name for it is "partial internal transcribed spacer region". The stretch from base 1 to 46 matches the Rfam family "Eukaryotic small subunit ribosomal RNA", at positions 1786 to 1831 of the family's 1831-position model. Lineage: Eukaryota; Fungi; Basidiomycota; Agaricomycetes; Agaricales; Psathyrellaceae. The record is from RNAcentral.
AAGUCGUAACAAGGUUUCCGUAGGUGAACCUGCGGAAGGAUCAUUAACAAAUAACUAUGGCGUUGGUUGUAGCUGGCUCCUCGGAGCAAUGUGCACGCCCGCCAUUUUUAUCUUUCCACCUGUGCACCGACUGUAGGUCUGGAUACCUCUCGCCUCCGGGCGGAUGCGAGGGUUGCUCGUAAGGGCUUCCCUUGAACUUCCAGGCUCUACGUCUUUUUACACACCCCAAUAGUAUGAUGCAGAAUGUAGUCAAUGGGCUUCUCAGCCUAUAAAACACUAUACAACUUUCAGCAACGGAUCUCUUGGCUCUC